UGGAAGUAAAAAGUCGUAACAAGGUCUCCGUUGGUGAACCAGCGGAGGGAUCAUUACCGAGUUUACAACUCCCAAACCCAAUGUGAACCAUACCAAACUGUUGCCUCGGCGGGGUCACGCCCCGGGUGCGUCGCAGCCCCGGAACCAGGCGCCCGCCGGAGGGACCAACCAAACUCUUUUCUGUAGUCCCCUCGCGGACGUUAUUUCUUACAGCUCUGAGCAAAAAUUCAAAAUGAAUCAAAACUUUCAACAACGGAUCUCUUGGUUCUGGCAUCGAUGAAGAACGCAGCGAAAUGCGAUAAGUAAUGUGAAUUGCAGAAUUCAGUGAAUCAUCGAAUCUUUGAACGCACAUUGCGCCCGCCAGUAUUCUGGCGGGCAUGCCUGUCCGAGCGUCAUUUCAACCCUCGAACCCCUCCGGGGGGUCGGCGUUGGGGACCUCGGGAGCCCCUAAGACGGGAUCCCGGCCCCGAAAUACAGUGGCGGUCUCGCCGCAGCCUCUCCUGCGCAGUAGUUUGCACAACUCGCACCGGGAGCGCGGCGCGUCCACGUCCGUAAAACACCCAACUUCUGAAAUGUUGACCUCGGAUCAGGUAGGAAUACCCGCUGAACUUAAGCAUAUCAAAA
RNAcentral lists this ribosomal RNA (624 nucleotides) under uncultured fungus. Its description in RNAcentral is "eukaryotic LSU rRNA". The stretch from base 242 to 395 matches the Rfam family "5.8S ribosomal RNA". The record is from RNAcentral. Lineage: Eukaryota; Fungi.